Molecule: ribosomal RNA, 490 nt
Filed under: uncultured bacterium
Lineage: Bacteria
Description: partial 16S ribosomal RNA
Rfam family: Bacterial small subunit ribosomal RNA
Source: RNAcentral
AUUGAACGCUGGCGGCAGGCCUAACACAUGCAAGUCGAACGGUAACAGGAAGAAGCUUGCUUCUUUGCUGACGAGUGGCGGACGGGUGAGUAAUGUCUGGGAAACUGCCUGAUGGAGGGGGAUAACUACUGGAAACGGUAGCUAAUACCGCAUAACGUCGCAAGACCAAAGAGGGGGACCUUCGGGCCUCUUGCCAUCGGAUGUGCCCAGAUGGGAUUAGCUAGUAGGUGGGGUAACGGCUCACCUAGGCGACGAUCCCUAGCUGGUCUGAGAGGAUGACCAGCCACACUGGAACUGAGACACGGUCCAGACUCCUACGGGAGGCAGCAGUGGGGAAUAUUGCACAAUGGGCGCAAGCCUGAUGCAGCCAUGCCGCGUGUAUGAAGAAGGCCUUCGGGUUGUAAAGUACUUUCAGCGGGGAGGAAGGGAGUAAAGUUAAUACCUUUACUCAUUGACGUUACCCGCAGAAGGAGCACCGGCUAACUCCGUG